Molecule: ribosomal RNA, 640 nt
Filed under: uncultured bacterium
Lineage: Bacteria
Description: bacterial SSU rRNA
Rfam family: Bacterial small subunit ribosomal RNA
Source: RNAcentral
GCGUACCAUUAGCUAGUUGGUAGGGUAAGGGCCUACCAAGGCGACGAUGGUUAGCUGGUCUGAGAGGAUGAUCAGCCACACUGGAACUGAGACACGGUCCAGACUCCUACGGGAGGCAGCAGUGGGGAAUUUUGCGCAAUGGGGGCAACCCUGACGCAGCAACGCCGCGUGAGUGAUGAAGGCUUUCGGGUCGUAAAGCUCUGUCGGGAGGGACGAAGUGUACGGAGGUUAAUACCCUUUGUACUUGACGGUACCUCCGAAGGAAGCACCGGCUAACUCCGUGCCAGCAGCCGCGGUAAUACGGAGGGUGCAAGCGUUGUUCGGAUUUAUUGGGCGUAAAGCGCGUGUAGGCGGUUUGGUAAGUCUGAUGUGAAAGCCCCGGGCUCAACCUGGGAAGUGCAUUGGAAACUGUCAGACUUGAAUACGGGAGAGGGUAGUGGAAUUCCUAGUGUAGGAGUGAAAUCCGUAGAUAUUAGGAGGAACACCGGUGGCGAAGGCGGCUACCUGGACCGAUAUUGACGCUGAGACGCGAAAGCGUGGGUAGCAAACAGGAUUAGAUACCCUGGUAGUCCACGCCGUAAACGAUGAGUACUAGGUGUUGCGGGUAUUGACCCCUGCAGUGCCGCAGCUAACGCAUUAA